RNAcentral lists this long non-coding RNA (1022 nucleotides) under Gallus gallus (chicken). Its description in RNAcentral is "lncRNA (ENSGALG00010010549.1)". Lineage: Eukaryota; Metazoa; Chordata; Aves; Galliformes; Phasianidae. The record is from RNAcentral.
CCCCAACAGCGGUGCCAUCCUGCGUGGAGGAUGCUCUGAGCGGCAGCCUCUGACCCCGAAGCUGCCAGCCCAGCCCUACGGCAUGCACCCAUCUUGCAGGUUGGAGCACAGCUGUUCUCAGAGCUGAGCUGUGGGAUAACGAAGCUUAGCUCCACGCAGGUCACCAGGGUGCUGCUGGCUGUCCCAGGGCUGGAGCUGGUCCGGUAUCAGCUCCCACUCUAUCUUACGUGCUCGUGUUAGUCAAAUAUUAUUCUUCGAGGAAAAUGACAGAGAGAGGAAAUUAUUUUAUCAAGACGUGAAAAACUUGACAAGCCUGACACGGAGCAAGGCAGUGGGUAUGACGUGAUGCAGUGCUGCUGGUGCAGGGCAGGGUACUGCCUGCCCCACGGGGCCGUCGCCGGGGCCCCCACUCUUUGUGAAAGCAGCAAGCCCACAGCUGGAAAAUGGCCAUCUCUGAUGCUCCCCAUUUUCUUCCGAACAGCGAGAUUGUGGCAAUGCUGCUGAGCUGGUCGCUGGCUGGGGAGGUGGAAAGGGGAAGUAUGAGGGAGUAAAGAGGGGGCAGCAAGCCAGGAAAGCAAAGGGAGACUGUGUGAAGGACAGCUCUGACCUCCCCUGACUCCAGAGGAGUGCCUUUGAGGAUGCUUCUUGAACACCAGGAGGGAAAAGGGCUGGAGAAGCACAAGAUUCUGUUGUUCUUAUAUAUAUACCUCAAAUAUAUAUAUAUAUUUGCCGGGGCUUUUUUUAAAGAACGUGUUCAUCACUCAAGAUAUCAACCUCAGGCAAGUUUUCACUACCUGGGGAAAGGGCUCAGGGACCGGCACGUUAUUAACAUGGUAAUCUCCCCACACCCCUCCAGCUAAGUUUGAUUGAGAAGGCGCUAACAUGAGCUCAAAGUCAAAAUGGAUUGUUGAAAUCAACUUGAAAGCAAAAUAAAACAAAGCUAAACAAAGCAGAAUUGCUUCAAGCCUCUCAAAUUCCUAAUUAAUUCAGAAAACAAAUUAACCUUAGCCUCCUAUCUCCAG